RNAcentral lists this ribosomal RNA (484 nucleotides) under uncultured bacterium. RNAcentral describes it as "partial 16S ribosomal RNA". It matches the Rfam family "Bacterial small subunit ribosomal RNA", at positions 29 to 507 of the family's 1533-position model. The record is from RNAcentral.
AUUGAACGCUGGCGGCAUGCUUUACACACGCAAGUCGAACGGCAGCGCGGGCUUCGGCCUGGCGGCGAGUGGCGAACGGGUGAGUAAUACAUCGGAACGUGCCCAGUAGUGGGGGAUAGCUCGGCGAAAGCCGGAUUAAUACCGCAUACGACCUGAGGGUGAAAGCGGGGGAUCUUCGGACCUCGCGCUAUUGGAGCGGCCGAUGGCAGAUUAGCUAGUUGGUGGGGUAAAGGCCUACCAAGGCGACGAUCUGUAGCUGGUCUGAGAGGACGACCAGCCACACUGGGACUGAGACACGGCCCAGACUCCUACGGGAGGCAGCAGUGGGGAAUUUUGGACAAUGGGCGAAAGCCUGAUCCGGCAAUGCCGCGUGUGUGAUGAAGGCCUUCGGGUUGUAAAGCACUUUUGGCGGGAACGAAAAGGACUGUGCCAAUACCACGGUUCGAUGACGGUACCCGCAGAAUAAGCACCGGCUAACUACGUG